UGAAAAUAAUGCAGUGCCAAGUUGAUUCUCAUGGAAUGAACAGUUCUAUAGUGCGUUUCAUAAAAUACCUAAUUCUAUUGACGUCUUGUUGACACUCUUGUCUGGCAAGAUACGAAAUAAGAUAUAAAUACGCGUAAAGGUGCCUGCAUAAUUUAUCAGUUUUCCAUAGUUUUCUAUAUGAGAAUCUUGGAAUCAUGCCCAAAACGUUGAAAAGUGGUGAAAGAGUGACUGUGUUAAAGGGCAAGGAAUUUUGUGAACGUGAAAAACGAAAUGAAGCGCCAAUUCGUUUUAGUCGUGUUCAAAAUCGUAUUACCGCCAUUACAGGUGUAAGCGUAGGUGUAAGUGACGGUUUAGAAGGUGAUGUGGCGGCCAGCACAUCAACGAAGGUGUCAACACCACGCAAAUGUUCAAUUUUUUUUUGGAAAUUACGGCUACAUUUACCAAAGAAAAAUGGAUGAAAGAAUGCGAGCUCGUAAAGAAAAUCGAAGGUACCUAAGUAUUGGGCCGACGGCCCAGGCGGCUACCGAAGAAGAUGAAGAAAAUAUUGCCGGUCUCAGUCCAUUAGAUGAGCAUAAUUACUUGAAACACAAAUCAAUGUAUUUUUUUUAUUGGAAUUUCAUGUAAUAAAAAGUCAUAAAUUA
Molecule: long non-coding RNA, 641 nt
Organism: Trichoplusia ni (cabbage looper)
Lineage: Eukaryota; Metazoa; Arthropoda; Insecta; Lepidoptera; Noctuidae
Exons: 2
Source: RefSeq, a predicted model, not a curated record